RNAcentral lists this transfer RNA (111 nucleotides) under Methanocaldococcus infernus ME. Its description in RNAcentral is "tRNA-Trp". It matches the Rfam family "tRNA". Rfam says of the family: Transfer RNA (tRNA) molecules are approximately 80 nucleotides in length. Their secondary structure includes four short double-helical elements and three loops (D, anti-codon, and T loops). The record is from RNAcentral. Lineage: Archaea; Methanobacteriati; Methanobacteriota; Methanococci; Methanococcales; Methanocaldococcaceae.
GGGGGUGUGGUGUAGCCUGGCCUAUCAUCAGGGACUCCAGUUGCCUAUAGGGCACUGGACCAAGGCAGGAGAAAUCCCUGGACCUGGGUUCAAAUCCCAGCACCCCCACCA